Molecule: unclassified non-coding RNA, 372 nt
Filed under: Hevea brasiliensis (rubber tree)
Lineage: Eukaryota; Viridiplantae; Streptophyta; Magnoliopsida; Malpighiales; Euphorbiaceae
Source: RNAcentral
UCUCAGUCAUUUAAAUGGAUAACUAACGGCCAAGAAAUAAUUAAAAAAAGAAGAGAAGAAAAGGGACAUAAAGCACCACCAUGAAUUUCUUCAUAUUGAAAGAUCAGCCAAGCCAAAAGUUCUUUCCACAGCUUUGCACCAAGAAUCCAGCUUCUUCUUCCUUAGGUUUUCAUCUAUUAAGGGGCGGAAAAUGGUAUCCGUCAUCUUAACCUUUUCUCCAGAAGCAAAUAUCUCCUCCUCUUUCCAAACCCCAACAGCCAAACCAGCAGCAUAGGCCGCUCCAAGAGCAGUUGUCUCUAUAUCAGCUGGUCUCACAACUGGGCAUCCCAACAAGUCUGCCUGAGAUUGCAUCAGAAGGUUGUUAACAGUUGC